Molecule: long non-coding RNA, 481 nt
Organism: Megachile rotundata (alfalfa leafcutting bee)
Lineage: Eukaryota; Metazoa; Arthropoda; Insecta; Hymenoptera; Megachilidae
Source: RefSeq, a predicted model, not a curated record
GAGGAGUAUCCGUAAUUAACAUCGGCUGUUUGAUUUUUGUGGAAUAAUUCUUAUUCUUUUGGCAACUUGGACAGGAUCGAACGAACUCUGCUAUUUCCUUCGCCAUGCCUGGCCAAUAGAAACGUUCACGAAUAAGCUGAUACAAUUUGUAACUUCCUCUAUGGCCUCCUACUACCGAAUCAUGAUAUUCUUGGAUAAUCUGCGAUCGUCUUGACCUUAGCGGGACUUCAACCUCACCAGCACACAAAGUAGACAGAAUAUUUAUCAUGCGGGAAAACCAUGGCAUCGCCAAGCUCAAUGUGAUAUUGCUGCAUCUGAUCCGACGAAAACCCAAUUCGACUUAGUAAUCCCACAGUGGUCUGAGAAGUAUCAUUACAACUUAAGGGAAUAAAAUGAACAAGGUUGUCUUGACGCAUAAAAAGAUUAUCUUCUACAUUAAAUAUAGCAGAGAUUUCUACCGAGGUCACUACCCCCCUAGGAU